Molecule: non-coding RNA, 533 nt
Organism: Pelobates cultripes (western spadefoot toad)
Lineage: Eukaryota; Metazoa; Chordata; Amphibia; Anura; Pelobatidae
Source: the annotation of a GenBank genome assembly
GUUUAAAACCUGAGGGACCUGGCACCCAGACCACUUCAUUGAGCUGAAGUGGUCUUGAUGACUAUAAUGUCCCUUUAAUAAAUAGAUAAACUCAUAAAGGGUUAACCUUUGUUUGUAAUACUUGGUCUAGUGUACAAUUUUACUGUACCUGCAACAAAUAGUGAUUGGAUUCACACCACAAAAGCAAGCAUACACGGAUAAAUUUAAUCAAUAUGCUCAGAAGAAAGAAAAUGUUUGACACUAAGGAUGGAAGGAUAAAAUAUUAUAUAGAAAAAGUGUAGAAACUGCAAUUAUAAAACUGUGAAUAGAUGUUAGAUGAGAGUAAGUAGUUAAACAUGGAGAAGAGGUAAGUUGAUACAGGAAAAAUAAAUGAGAUUUGUGACAAUGGGAAGGUAGGUUGUGGAGGAGGGCUCUGGACAACAAAGAUAAUGGAUCUUAAAAGAUCGUAUUAAAAAUUGGAUUUGAGGUCUAAAUGUGGGCAAUGAGGGUGCAUUCGUGAUGUGAUGGUCAUAAAUGCUACAUGCUGGUAACCU